GAGUUGCAGCAAUGCGCCACUUGUCUCAAAACCUGAAAUACAUUCUAAUUCUCCCGACUCUCCCUCCCUCUGCCUCCUGUUGCCUUCAGCCAGAUGUGCCAGGCCUGCAUCAAAUGCCAUUCCGGGCCCCUGUCACCUGCCAGAGGGGAAAAGCACACGGCGACGCUCUCCCCUGUGAAAAGGUUGAAGGCAGACAGGAUAUCGGACCGAACGAUAGCAUCCUGCUGCUCACUGCGGCAUCGUCGAAUGGAACGAGCUGCCUGAUGUGUGAACCCGGGAGCAGCAGAAGAAGAACAGAAGAGGUGUACGGGGGGGAACCACGGCCUCCCCAGGGAUCAAUCUAAGGUUAGAUGUAUGCAAGUGAUCCCUUUUCAACAGGAUUACUCGAUUAAUCCUGCGACCCUUACCUUGACAUCCUUGUCACCAAAAAGAAGGGGUCGAAUAAGGUGCCGUGCACUAAAGACACACAGCGAGAGCAGCUCCC
Molecule: long non-coding RNA, 484 nt
Organism: Gasterosteus aculeatus aculeatus (three-spined stickleback)
Lineage: Eukaryota; Metazoa; Chordata; Actinopteri; Perciformes; Gasterosteidae
Source: Ensembl